CAGUAUGUUGAUUGCCAAAUCUGAAACUACAUGGGUUAAAUUAGAGUCAACUGCUGCAGUUAAAUCAACUCUGCUGUUAAGCAUAUGCAUAUGACGUCUUUAAUCAUUUCGAUUCAAUUAUGCAUUCUUGUUAAGAUCUGGUUAUUGGAUUCAUAGCAAUAUAAUGAGUUUGAUUUGUAAAUAGCAUACUGCUGCCAUGAUCUGGUUCAUAUGUUGUUGGUUCACUUGUUUGGUUUGAUGACUGCAGUGUGCUAAUGUGCUUGAGACAGGUUUUAAAGGUUUGGAUUGAUGCAAGUUGGACCUUACAAGUUUGGUUUGAGUUUAGAACAUGUUUGUUGCAGGUUCAUAGGUUGCAUCAGUUCUGCAACCAGUUCCUUGUUCUGGUUUAGUAAGUUGACUUGGUGUUGAUUUGUGGUGAUGCCGUUAAUUUGUACUUCUAUCAUGUUAAUCCUAUGUUAAGUUAUUGUACCAAGCAUUGGUUAGUGAAUGUUGGUUAAUUAGAUGAUGCAAAUGUUAAUUGGGAUUGUUAGAUUUAUUGAAUAGGACUGUUAGAUUAACAUGCUGAUUGA
Molecule: long non-coding RNA, 569 nt
Organism: Lathyrus oleraceus (garden pea)
Lineage: Eukaryota; Viridiplantae; Streptophyta; Magnoliopsida; Fabales; Fabaceae
Exons: 2
Source: RefSeq, a predicted model, not a curated record